Molecule: ribosomal RNA, 483 nt
Filed under: uncultured bacterium
Lineage: Bacteria
Description: bacterial SSU rRNA
Rfam family: Bacterial small subunit ribosomal RNA
Source: RNAcentral
GAUAAACGCUGGCGGCGUGCUUCAGGCAUGCAAGUCGAACGGUCAUCUGGUUUCGGCCAGAUGGUAGUGGCGGACGGGUGAGUAACACGUAAGUAACCUGCCCGGAAGUGGGGAAUAACUAGCCGAAAGGCUGGCUAAUACCGCAUGUGAAGGUCCUUCCUCGGGAGGGUCUUGAAAGGUGCAAAUCGCUUUCGGAGGGGCUUGCGGCCGAUUAGCUAGUUGGUGGGGUAAUGGCCUACCAAGGCGACGAUCGGUAGCUGGUCUGAGAGGACGGUCAGCCACACGGGGACUGAGAUACGGCCCCGACUCCUACGGGAGGCAGCAGUCGGGAAUUUUGGGCAAUGGGCGAAAGCCUGACCCAGCAACGCCGCGUGAAGGAUGAAAUCCUCGGGAUGUAACUUCGCAAGAACAGGAAGAAUAAGUAGGGACAAUACCCCAUGAUGACGGUACUGUUUGUAAGCACCGGCUAACUCUGUGCCAGCA